UUGCUUUUGCAGCACAUAUACUGAAAUUGAAAAGAUACAGAAAAUACUAGAGUGGCCUCCACAAGAGGAUAACAUGAAUUUAUUAAAGGCGUGCCAUGUGUUU
Molecule: small nuclear RNA, 103 nt
Filed under: Cervus hanglu yarkandensis (Yarkand deer)
Lineage: Eukaryota; Metazoa; Chordata; Mammalia; Artiodactyla; Cervidae
Source: RNAcentral